This 95-nucleotide transfer RNA is filed under the name Streptomyces olivaceoviridis. RNAcentral's name for it is "tRNA-Leu". Lineage: Bacteria; Bacillati; Actinomycetota; Actinomycetes; Kitasatosporales; Streptomycetaceae. RNAcentral also lists the same sequence under 1 other name. The record is from RNAcentral.
CCGGCGCGCUGGUCGGCGGCAAGACCGGCACCGCCCAGCACGGCGUCGGCAACGCCGGGGUGCCCUACGCCUGGUUCGUCUCCUGGGCGCAGGCC